This is a non-coding RNA of Merluccius polli (Benguela hake), 71 nucleotides long. NCBI's taxonomy places the organism in Eukaryota, Metazoa, Chordata, Actinopteri, Gadiformes, Merlucciidae. The record is from the annotation of a GenBank genome assembly.
GCAGAUAGUCUAGUGGUUAGAGUGAUUGACUCCAAGUCGAAAGGUUCUGGGUUUGAACCCCAAUGUCUGCA